GCUCAGUAACACGUGGAUAAUCUGCCCUAUGGUGGAGGAUAACCCCGGGAAACUGGGGAUAAUACUCCAUAAGUCAGGAGUACUGGAAUGUCUCCUAACUGAAAGUUUCGGCGCCAUAGGAUGAAUCUGCGGCCGAUUAGGUAGUUGUUGGGGUAACGGCCCGACAAGCCCGUAAUCGGUACGGGUUGUGGGAGCAAGAGCCCGGAGAUGGAAUCUGAGACACGAUUCCAGGCCCUACGGGGCGCAGCAGGCGCGAAAACUUUACAAUGCAGGAAACUGUGAUAAGGGAACCCCGAGUGCCCGUACACGCGGGCUGUCCCGGUGUUUAAAACACAUCGGAAGAAAGGGCCGGGCAAGACCGGUGCCAGCCGCCGCGGUAAUACCGGCGGCUCGAGUGGUGACCACUUUUAUUGGGCUUAAAGCGUUCGUAGCUUGAUUUUUAAGUCUCUUGGGAAAUCUCACGGCUUAACUGUGAGGCGUCUAAGAGAUACUGGGAAUCUAGGGACCGGGAGAGGUAAGAGGUACUUCAGGGGUAGAAGUGAAAUUCUGUAAUCCUUGAGGGACCACCGAUGGCGAAGGCAUCUUACCAGAACGGCUUCGACAGUGAGGAACGAAAGCUGGGGGAGCGAACGGGAUUAGAUACCCCGGUAGUCCCAGCCGUAAACUAUGCGCGUUAGGUGUGCCUGUAACUACGAGUUACCGGGGUGCCGAAGUGAAAACGUGAAACGUGCCGCCUGGGAAGUACGGUCGCAAGGCUGAAACUUAAAGGAAUUGGCGGGGGAGCAC
This 786-nucleotide ribosomal RNA is filed under the name uncultured archaeon. RNAcentral describes it as "bacterial SSU rRNA". It matches the Rfam family "Archaeal small subunit ribosomal RNA", at positions 88 to 879 of the family's 1478-position model. The record is from RNAcentral.